Molecule: ribosomal RNA, 1710 nt
Filed under: Aneurinibacillus migulanus
Lineage: Bacteria; Bacillati; Bacillota; Bacilli; Caryophanales; Paenibacillaceae
Description: bacterial LSU rRNA
Rfam family: Bacterial large subunit ribosomal RNA
Source: RNAcentral
GGUAGGGGAGCGUUCCUGCAGCAGUGAAGUCAGACCGGAAGGACUGGUGGAGCGGCAGGAAGUGAGAAUGCCGGUGUAAGUAGCGAAAAGAGAGGUGAGAAUCCUCUCCGCCGAAAGCCUAAGGGUUCCUGGGGAAGGCUCGUCCUCCCAGGGUUAGUCGGGACCUAAGCCGAGGCUGAAAAGCGUAGGCGAUGGACAACAGGUGGAAAUUCCUGUACUACCUCCACUCCGUUUGAGCAACGGGGGGACGCAGGAGGGUAGGGUGAGCAGACUGUUGGAUAUGUCUGUCCAAGCAGUGAGGCGUGUGUAUAGGCAAAUCCGUACACUGUAACGCCAGGCUGUGAUGGCGAGCGAAAUUGUAGUAGCGAAGUCCCUGAUCUCACACUGCCAAGAAAAGCCUCUAGCGAGGAGUGAGGUACCCGUACCGCAAACCGACACAGGUAGGCGAGGAGAGAAUCCUAAGGCGCGCGAGAAAACUCUUGCUAAGGAACUCGGCAAAAUGACCCCGUAACUUCGGGAGAAGGGGUGCCCCGGUAGCGUGUCAAAGCGCGAGGGGGCCGCAGUGAAAAGGCCCAAGCGACUGUUUAGCAAAAACACAGGUCUCUGCGAAGCCGCAAGGCGAAGUAUAGGGGCUGACGCCUGCCCGGUGCUGGAAGGUUAAGGGGAAAGGUUAGCACCUUCGGUGCGAAGCUUUGAACCGAAGCCCCAGUAAACGGCGGCCGUAACUAUAACGGUCCUAAGGUAGCGAAAUUCCUUGUCGGGUAAGUUCCGACCCGCACGAAAGGCGUAACGACUUGGGCACUGUCUCGGCAAGAGACUCGGUGAAAUCAUACUACCUGUGAAGAUGCAGGUUACCCGCGACAAGACGGAAAGACCCCAUGGAGCUUUACUGCAGCCUGAUAUUGAAUGCUGGUAUUGUUUGUACAGGAUAGGUGGGAGCCGUUGAAGCCGGACCGUCAGGUUCGGUGGAGGCGUCCUUGGGAUACCACCCUGACAAUGCUGGCCUUCUCACUUGCAUCCCUCACCGGGAUGAAGGACCGUGUCAGGCGGGCAGUUUGACUGGGGCGGUCGCCUCCUAAAAGGUAACGGAGGCGCCCAAAGGUUCCCUCAGAAUGGUUGGAAAUCAUUCGCAGAGUGUAAAGGCACAAGGGAGCUUGACUGCGAGACCUACAAGUCGAGCAGGGACGAAAGUCGGGCUUAGUGAUCCGGUGGUUCCGCAUGGAAGGGCCAUCGCUCAACGGAUAAAAGCUACCCUGGGGAUAACAGGCUUAUCUCCCCCAAGAGUCCACAUCGACGGGGAGGUUUGGCACCUCGAUGUCGGCUCAUCGCAUCCUGGAGCUGAAGUAGGUUCCAAGGGUUGGGCUGUUCGCCCAUUAAAGCGGUACGCGAGCUGGGUUCAGAACGUCGUGAGACAGUUCGGUCCCUAUCUGUCGUGGGCGCAGGAAAUUUGAGAGGAGCUGUCCUUAGUACGAGAGGACCGGGAUGGACGCACCGCUGGUGCACCAGUUGUUCCGCCAGGAGCACAGCUGGGUAGCUAUGUGCGGUCGGGAUAAGCGCUGAAAGCAUCUAAGCGUGAAGCCCCCCUCAAGAUGAGAUUUCCCACAGCAUAAGCUGGUAAGACCCCUUAAAGAUGAUGAGGUAGAUAGGUUCGGGGUGGAAGCGUGGCAACACGCGGAGCUGACGAAUACUAAUCGGUCGAGGGCUUAACCA